UUAGCAAGUAUUAGACAAAAAAACUUGGGAGGAUAAGGACUUAGAAUGACAUUACAUUUUUUGGAGGUUUCUGGGCCCUUUCAUCGGCCUUGGGAAGAGUGCAACUCCUCCUCACCUUCGAUGUGAGAGGGAGCUGUGUGAAAAGGUGGGAAGCCGCCGUGACCAGCCCUCUUUGAGCCGCCGUGGGCGGUGUAGGCGGCGGUUUCGGGGGAUGCCGACCGCCUAUUCUUGGAGGCAGCAGUGGUGGGAGCAAUUUCCUCCCUCAGCCUUACCCGAAGAUCGGCCGGAAGUAAGGGAAAUCUCGCUGGAAAAGCUGGAGAUGUUGGUGGCGCUGGGAAGAGGCAAGGAUUACGUCGGCGACAUUGGGUGGAGGCAAAGAUGACAACGCCAUAUGGAUAUCGUCCUUACUUAUCAGUGUUGGUUGUUGGCAGUCUCCAUGGAAGUCUCCAUCGACGAUCCAAAACGACUGGCACCCACGGCCUUGAUCUCAAACCCAUCGCCGACGAAAUGUGGUUGAAACAACAAUAACAGCUCGUCACAACGUGUCACUCAGCUCCAUAACCAUAUUGGCCGACAACGAAGAGCAAGCGUUGGUAGAAGCGAAGAUGGUGACGAUCUAUAGGCGGCGGCGACAAUGACAAAGCUACUUAGGAGAGGAGAUGAGAGGCUGACGACUGCUACUGUUGACACUCCUCACUGGAAACUAUAUCUUCUCCCUAGAUCUUGAUGGGGGUGCCCAUUCAAAUUUUUUAUUCUUUUUCGUUUCUAAUUUUCUAUAGUUCUUCACUUGGUUUUGUGAAAGGGUUUUUUGGGUCAUCUACUCUCGUCCAACAAUGUAAGAAUUGGGGGUUUCACAAAUGUCAAGUUACAAUGACAGUCACAACAUUAGUUACAGUAUCUGCCAUAUAACACUGUUAAUGGGACCAAUAGUGUGGUUGGUAGUGUAACUAUCAGUACAGCUGUCAUAAGGGUUG
Argentina anserina (silverweed cinquefoil) is the source of this 974-nucleotide RNA transcript. RefSeq lists it as uncharacterized. The record is from RefSeq and is a predicted model, not a curated record. The transcript is spliced from 2 exons. NCBI's taxonomy places the organism in Eukaryota, Viridiplantae, Streptophyta, Magnoliopsida, Rosales, Rosaceae.